AAACGCAGCGGGUGCGGUUGCGGU
This 24-nucleotide non-coding RNA is filed under the name Arabidopsis thaliana (thale cress). The record is from RNAcentral. Lineage: Eukaryota; Viridiplantae; Streptophyta; Magnoliopsida; Brassicales; Brassicaceae.